RNAcentral lists this ribosomal RNA (253 nucleotides) under uncultured bacterium. RNAcentral's name for it is "partial 16S ribosomal RNA". It matches the Rfam family "Bacterial small subunit ribosomal RNA", at positions 524 to 776 of the family's 1533-position model. The record is from RNAcentral.
UACGUAGGGUGCAAGCGUUGCUCGGAAUUACUGGGCGUAAAGGGUUCGUAGGCGGUGCAGCAAGUCGGGAGUGAAAUCCCGGGGCUUAACUCCGGGACUGCUUCCGAAACUGCUGUGCUAGAGUGCGGGAGAGGCGAGUGGAAUUGCGAGUGUAGCGGUGAAAUGCGUAGAGAUUCGCAGGAACACCAGAGGCGAAGGCGGCUCGCUGGACCGCAACUGACGCUGAGGAACGAAAGCUAGGGGAGCAAACAGG